AACGAACGCUGGCGGCAGGCCUAACACAUGCAAGUCGAGCGAGGACUUCGGUCCUAGCGGCGGACGGGUGAGUAACGCGUGGGAACGUGCCCUUUGCUUCGGAAUAGCCCUGGGAAACUGGGAGUAAUACCGGAUGAGCCCUUUGGGGGAAAGAUUUAUCGGCGAAGGAUCGGCCCGCGUUGGAUUAGGUAGUUGGUGGGGUAAUGGCCUACCAAGCCAACGAUCCAUAGCUGGUUUGAGAGGAUGAUCAGCCACACUGGGACUGAGACACGGCCCAGACUCCUACGGGAGGCAGCAGUGGGGAAUCUUAGACAAUGGGGGAAACCCUGAUCUAGCCAUGCCGCGUGAGCGAUGAAGGCCUUAGGGUUGUAAAGCUCUUUCAGCUGGGAAGAUAAUGACGGUACCAGCAGAAGAAGCCCCGGCUAACUCCGUG
RNAcentral lists this ribosomal RNA (433 nucleotides) under uncultured bacterium. Its description in RNAcentral is "partial 16S ribosomal RNA". It matches the Rfam family "Bacterial small subunit ribosomal RNA", at positions 29 to 507 of the family's 1533-position model. The record is from RNAcentral.